Molecule: non-coding RNA, 24 nt
Filed under: Arabidopsis thaliana (thale cress)
Lineage: Eukaryota; Viridiplantae; Streptophyta; Magnoliopsida; Brassicales; Brassicaceae
Source: RNAcentral
ACGGAUGUGCGGAUUUCUUAGCCA